Strigops habroptila (Kakapo) is the source of this 4603-nucleotide long non-coding RNA. RefSeq lists it as uncharacterized. The transcript is spliced from 7 exons. NCBI's taxonomy places the organism in Eukaryota, Metazoa, Chordata, Aves, Psittaciformes, Psittacidae. The record is from RefSeq and is a predicted model, not a curated record.
GGGGUUGGAACUGGAUGAGCUUUAAGGUCCUUUCCAACCCAAACCAGUCUGUGAUUGUAUGUCCAUAGAGACAUAAAUCAACCUUGAAAAAACUGAGAGAAUGGAUGAGAGAUUGUAAGACCUCUCAGCAUGGUAUGGGAGCAGCCAAGCUAACUUGCCUUCCUGUUUUCUUAUGUGUGCUUGCUGUCUGUGUCGGCAUGGCUUACCCAGCUGACUAGGUGAUCUCUUGAGUGGCAUGUAGGAGGUAGACUAGGUUUAGAGCAGCGGGUUGUAGAAUUCCCUGUGCUGAACAUCAUCCCAGCUCAUGCUGGUCUCUGUGUCAGGGAAGGGGGGAUCAUCCACUCACCAAGCGAGAGAUUGAACUAAUCUCUGUUAGGCUUAAGGGGACUGGAGUUACCUGAAAUAACGUGUGAAAGGUCUCUCCUUUGUAAGGGAGAACACUCAAAGAACUGCAUGUUUUGUGAAAUAACCCUUUCUAGUUACAGCUGAUUCCAGUGCAAUAAAGUACUUUAUUAAUUCAAGAAGAUACUUCACCGAAAGGAGACGUGAAGAGUUUUACAGGCUCGCGGGAAGUCUUGGCUAAAGUCCAGUAGUGGUAUAGCUCAGGAAAAAUGGGGUCCCAAGGUUUUUAUUACAUACUUUGGCUCCUCCUGGAGGUAAGUACAAUGCAUUUGCUCAGCAUAUUGCCUCACAGUAACUACACAGGUGCAGUAGUCUGUUUGCCCCAGGAUACACUUGAACGGUGGAGGAAGGAUGUUAUGAGGUGUUCUGUGAUGCAGUUACUUCACCUGAACCUUGCAACCUUUUGAGAUGUGUUGGUGUUACAGCAAUGUGCCAUUUUCCUGCUGUUUAAAUCCACACUGCUCUAACUUUCAGUAGCAGUUGCAUACACCUGAAAGAAUUCUGAAUUACAAGCACAGCUGCUUCUGCUGCUUUUCUACUCUGCUCCUUCUAUGUGCAGACACUUAGGUUAGGUGUGCCUUUAACCCUAUGCUUGUAUCAUGCAGCUGAUACCAAGUAAUGAUGGUAAGUGUUGUAAGGGGCUAACUGGGGGGAAGCUUGGUUCUCUCUUCUAUACCUUGCAGAGUAUGUGUGAGAUCUGUCUGCUGGCUCAGUGAGUGUGCUUUGUUACUUAAACUGCUUGAGAAACAACUGGUUUCACCUCUGUUGAUACCCUUCUUCUCCCUUUCUGUCAGUGCUGCUGGUCAGAGGAGGAAACAAGGAUGCAUCCUGCUUCCCAGAUUAUUUGUUUAUACUCUGUUUCUUUGGGGAUGGAGAUGCCACUGAUGUCUCAGCUAAGAGUUGCUAUAGCGUGUUGAAAUGUAGAAAAAAGGAAUUAACUUCAGAAAAGACCCAAAAUAAUGCCUGAUGGAGGAGACAGUAGUUUGUUGUGUGCGUACAGUUCACUCUCAUUAGUUUGGGGUAUCUGAUACUUGUCAGUGUAUGUCUCUUACUCACUGAUCACAACUUGUCAGAGAUGUUAAUGAUGAAGCCCGUGUUACAUGUCUCAAACCUGGAUGCUUUGGUCACCUGAAAGUGCUAAUGUCUGAGUCUGUUCUUACCCAACAGGCCUUCAUUGCACGAUCCCCAAGAAGCUUGCAGUGUCUUGCAGAAACAAGCGUUGUUUCAGCAUUUCUUAAGACAGAAGGUGACGAUAGAAUUGAGAGUCUUUGGCAUUUCUUAAAUACAUGGGUAUGCUCUGGGUUAAUACUGUUAACUAAAACUUGCUCUGACAUCCUGCACUGCAGAAACUAUGGGUUGUCUUUGCUGCGGAAGUGAUUUUGGUCACAGUGGACUCAGGUAAGGAACCACCCAGGGUCCGGAACACCAGGAGAAGCAUUUGGAAGACCCUGGAGGAGAGAAUCACAGAAUGGUUGAGGUUGGAAGAUGCAGAAGAUGAGGAUAAGUAGGAAUGUGUGAUGCUUUUGCUCAGAGGGGAAAUUGCUUACUCUUUUAAGUUCAUACAUAGAAACCUGGGUUUGUAUCUCGACUUUCAUGCUCACAACUUCUUCUUCUUCAUGAAAACUUAAAGGGUUUGAUACUCUCAGUUGAGCCUUCCCUGGGUAGUACACCAAAACCAUGCAGUCUGUGUGAGGGACACACACAUGUAUGAGCUCAAGUGUACAAAUACGUGAUAACACUGUUUUUAAGGUGUCUGAUGUUCUGCUGUCACGAUGUCAACAUCCAUGUGAGUGCAGUGUGGAGAACUGGAGGGAUGUUGGGGUUGUCUCAGUUCUUGCAAAUCAAUGGUCAGGCCGUAUGUAAUUCCUAAUAUGUGGAUUAGGUGGAUGAAAAGAUGUUCAGGUGCGCUCAGAGUGGAAUAUGGUUUCUAAGGGUGAUUGGUAUGAUCUAUGCUAUUUUUGACCCAUAAGUUUUGUUUUGAAAUCCCAUGUUCUUUAUUAUCCCAGCUGUAAAUUGUAGUUGUCUACAGUCCCCUUGGAGGAAGGAGGAGAGUUGAAGUGUUGCUCACCAACUGCUUACUCCAAAGCCUGUGGGGGCAUGGUGUAAACUCCUUCAUGUUAAAGUCACUGUUAGAGCCUGGAGGCUGAAGAAACUGCUGCGAGGGAUUUUUGUUUGCAAUUGUCUCCCAUGGAGCUGUUUCCCAAAGAGUUGGCAGAGCUGCAAGGUGAGAAUUCAACUGAGUGGAACAGGUGAGUACCUCUGUAUUGUGUUACUGGUGCCAGGUAUCUUAAUGGUAACAUUACGGAUAAACACACUGUGUUGUCUGCCCUGUCCUUAAACAGGGAAAGCUUGGAAGAACACAGGUAAGAGUGGAAGACUUCUGUGCCCCUUCAAGUGUUCUCAAUGAAAUUGUGGGGAGGCAGCUGUUAAACUGAUGUCUGGAAGAACCUACUAUUCUUGCCUACCCAAAAUGGUUUGUAAAGCUGCUCUGAAAGUAAUUCUGUAUGAAGUGUUCUCUUUUUUUAUCUUUCAGCACAAGAAGAGUGCUAAGAGCAGUCAAGAACCUCUUCAGAUAGCAUGGACAUGUUCUUCAAGUGAAACAUGGGAGCAGUUUGGUAGCAGUUGCACUACAGGAAAGUGUGCAGGCUGCUGCAGGUCCCUGGGUUCAUAAGUGGUUUGUAGGGGAAAUGUGGACAUGUGGAGAGUGUGACAACCAUAACCAGAGAACCCGGUUUCUGAAGUGGAGAGCUUCAUGUUUUGGGACGUUCAUUUCAAGGGAAGGCUGGAGCAGGAGGAAGAGUCAGGCUGCAGCUAAACCUUCCAGCCCACACACGGGAACAGGAAGAUCCUGUUUGAAGAAUCAGGGAAGAGGCUGCUCUGGAUGGCAAGAGAGCUCCGUGUUCCCGUUGGCUUUCUCUGCAAUUGAUUUUCCAGUGUUAGAGAAAGGAUCAGAUGUUUCUCUGCCAGUCACAUCCCAGAUCACCAUCAGCACUUGUGCAGGCUGAAAACUCCUUAUGGACAUCACUUCCAGUGUCCCUAGUGGGUUAAUGUAAGGCUGUGAUGGGCCAGGGGAGGCAGAUCUGGCUCCCACAACCUUCAGCAGAUGCAGCUGACGACCAGAGAAGACAAAUGACAACCUUUGAUCCUGGCUCGCUGCUGUUUGUAGUCUGUCUGCCUUCUGGUAGUGAUGAAGACAUCACAAUUAAAAUGUUACCCAAAUUAUAAGCUGUCAGACUCUCUCGCAAAGCUUUGCAGGGCAAUAUAGGUUAGUACAUUUGUCUAGACACACUAAACAUCCUUUUCAGGAUGUCAGUGUUUGAAUUUUUCAUAAUCAUCAAUCAUAAUCAUAUAUUACUAAAUAUAUUCAGCUUGUCUUAAGACUUUCUGAGGCUGUGAAACCCAUCUUGGAGAAGUUACAAUAUGCAGAAUUUGGUAUGUACAGAAAUGUCAGUAGAUGGUUUUUCCUCCUGCUCUAGUCACCACCAGGCAUUGGAAGAGUAAACUGAGAUUUUCUGUGCUUUCCCAAGUGUGUAAUUCCAAUGUUUCCUACAUUUUGCCCUGAUGAACAAGACCAGACUCUCUGCAUUCAGAGUAACCUGGGUGCUUAGCUCGAAACAGGAGAUAAUCCAGUUAGAAAAGGCUUAUGCUUGUUUGGUCAGAGGUCACCAAGGUACAACUCUAAAUGUGAGUAAGAGUGAGGGAAGCUGCAGGAGACCUGUGUAACCUGCACGAGGAGUGAGCUGGUGGGCAAUGGAGGCCUGCUUUAUAUCUAAAAGUUUGUCUGAUUUAGCAAUACCAGGACUACAACAACAUCCCCCAUCAAUACAGCUUUGCUGGUGAAACCUGCAGGUGUAGUUUCAACAACAAAACAUCUUUCUCAGUUCUGAUAGAAGCAAUACAUAGCUAUUAAAGUGAUUUCAAUGGGAUCCCAGCUCUAGGAGGGUUUACCAGCUCUUCUGUAGCUACAUUGGCAAACUUUCUCACCAAGGCUGUUCUACAUAUCAGCUACUGAGGAGUGUGAGGCUGCUGACAGCAGAGCUGCUUUGGAGGCUUGACGGGCGUAUAAAGCUUUUCAUCUUUGGGCAGCCCACAGAGAAACACUGUCUGCUUCCUGAAGUGAAUCUCUGCUGGAGAACAAAGGACUUCAGCUCAUACACAGAGGGGUAAUUUACAUCUCAUUAAACCAAUAGUUUAAAAUCUA